AAUCCACCUUCCAGUCCACACUAAUUGCUGUUAAGUGGGCGAGUUCAUGGAGGCGUGCAGCGUUUCUUGUAGAUUGGCAUAAUUUCGGAUAUACAUUGCUGGCAUUGUCUUUAGGAAGAAACAAUGUCUUUGUAUCCUUAUACCGCUGAGUAAUAAACAUCGAUCAUCAAGAAGUUUUUGCUUUGACCUUCUAACGUCGGAACAUCACAAGUGUAAAGACUAUCAUCGCAUCUUUCUCCUUGAGGCUCUUCUCCUUGACGAAACCGUUCCAUCCUCUAGUGAAGACAAAGCUCUGGCUACAUCUCCAGUAACAAAGGCAUGAGGUUAGUGGUCUUUUCUUCCCUUUGGUGUCUAUGAUAUCAUUAGUAGAGGUAUAUUCUUGAAAUAAAUAAAAAGAUUUUCAUCUUUUGAUU
Long non-coding RNA from Brassica napus (rape), 413 nucleotides. RefSeq lists it as uncharacterized. NCBI's taxonomy places the organism in Eukaryota, Viridiplantae, Streptophyta, Magnoliopsida, Brassicales, Brassicaceae. The transcript has 2 exons. The record is from RefSeq and is a predicted model, not a curated record.